This 458-nucleotide ribosomal RNA is filed under the name uncultured bacterium. RNAcentral's name for it is "partial 16S ribosomal RNA". The record is from RNAcentral.
GACUACUGGGGUAUCUAAUCCCGUUUGCUCCCCUAGCUUUCGUGCAUCAGCGUCAGAAAAGACCCAGUAAGCCGCUUUCGCCACAGGUGUUCCUUACGAUAUCAACGCAUUUCACCGCUCCACCGUAAGUUCCGCUUACCUCUAUCUUCCUCAAGCACAGUAGUUUUGGGCGCAGUUCCUCGGUUGAGCCGAGGUAUUUCACACCCAACUUACUGCGCAGCCUACGCACCCUUUAAGCCCAGUAAUUCCGAAUAACGUUUGUGUGGUUCGUCUUACCGCGGCUGCUGGCACGAACUUAGCCCACACUUCCUCUGCGGAUAGGUCAAGCUCUGCUCUUCACAAAGCUUUCCUCCCCACUGACAGCGGUUUACAACCCGAAGGCCUUCAUCCCGCACGCGGCAUCGCUUGGUCAGGCUUUCGCCCAUUGCCAAAAAUUCUCGACUGCAGCCCCCCGUAGG